RNAcentral lists this ribosomal RNA (229 nucleotides) under uncultured bacterium. RNAcentral describes it as "partial 16S ribosomal RNA". It matches the Rfam family "Bacterial small subunit ribosomal RNA", at positions 568 to 796 of the family's 1533-position model. The record is from RNAcentral.
UGCGCAGGCGGAAUAUUAAGUCAGUGGUGAAAGCCUACAGCUCAACUGUAGAACUGCCAUUGAAACUGAUAUUCUUGAGUAUAGUUGUAGUGGGCGGAAUAUAUCAUGUAGCGGUGAAAUGCUUAGAUAUGAUAUAGAACACCGAUCGCGAAGGCAGCUCACUAAACUAUAACUGACGCUCAGGCACGAAAGCGUGGAGAGCAAACAGGAUUAGAUACCCUGGUAGUCC